Arachis stenosperma is the source of this 332-nucleotide long non-coding RNA. RefSeq lists it as uncharacterized. The record is from RefSeq and is a predicted model, not a curated record. The transcript has 5 exons. Lineage: Eukaryota; Viridiplantae; Streptophyta; Magnoliopsida; Fabales; Fabaceae.
GGUCUUUCAUUCUUGGACUUGUCAUUUAAUAAUCUCAGUGGUCCUACUCCAAAAAUUUUGACAAAAGAUUACAGGAACCUUAUCCGAGUGAGUACCAAUGGCACAAUCAGUGGCAGAGUUUGAUGAGAAAAUUAAAAUAAUGUGUGAUAUUUUAUAUUCAUCUUGAGGCACUUCAACAUUUUGCUAGGGGUGCUGAUAUUAAGGGCUGAAAAGCUGUGCUGGACAAGGCCGUGCAUACUGAUCCAAAUUGCUCAGGAUACUCAAAAUACUGAUCUAAAUUGCAGUUGCUGUUUCUCAAACAGUUUCAAUUAUAUGGGAAGCAAGUAGUUCAU